GAUGAACGCUGGCGGCGUGCCUAAUACAUGCAAGUCGAGCGAACAGACGCUGAGCUUUUUCCUCUGACGUUAGCGGCUGACGGGUGAGUAACACGUGGAUAACUUACCUAUCUGACUGUGAUAGCUUCGAGACACCGGAGCUAAUACCUGCUACUAUAUUGAUCCGCAUGGUUCAAUAUGUGAAGACGGUUUUGCUGUCCCUUCUAUAUGGAUCCGCGCCGCAUUAGCUAGUUGGUAUGGUAACGGCUUACCAAGGCAACGAUGCGUAGCCGACCUGAGAGGGUGAUCGGCCACACUGGAACUGAGACACGGUCCAAACUCCUACGGGAGGCAGCAGUAGGGAAUCUUCCGCAAUGGGCGAAAGUUUGACGGAGCAACGCCGCGUGAGUGAUGAAGGUCUUCGGAUCGUAAAACUCUGUUAUUAGGGAAGAACAGAGGAGAGAGUAACUAUGAACGGCUUGACGGUACCUAAUCAGAAAGCCACGGCUAACUACGUG
This 497-nucleotide ribosomal RNA is filed under the name uncultured bacterium. Its description in RNAcentral is "partial 16S ribosomal RNA". It matches the Rfam family "Bacterial small subunit ribosomal RNA", at positions 28 to 507 of the family's 1533-position model. The record is from RNAcentral.